Molecule: ribosomal RNA, 399 nt
Filed under: uncultured bacterium
Lineage: Bacteria
Description: bacterial SSU rRNA
Rfam family: Bacterial small subunit ribosomal RNA
Source: RNAcentral
ACGGAAUAGAUACCCCGGUAGUCCACGCCCUAAACGAUGAUUACUCGACAUUGGCGAUAUUACUGUUCAGUGUCUGAGCGAAAGCGUUAAGUAAUCCACCUGGGGAGUACGCCCGCAAGGGUGAAACUCAAAGGAAUUGACGGGGGUCCGCACAGGCGGAGGAGCAUGUGGUUUAAAUUCGAUGAUACGCGAGGAACCUUACCUGGGCUAGAAUGCGCGUGAAUGUUUCAGAAACGAGACAGGCUCAGCAAUGAGACACAAAGCAAGGUGCUGCAUGGCUGUCGUCAGCUCGUGCCGUGAGGUGUUGGGUUUAAGUCCCGCAACGAGCGCAACCCUCAUCAUUAGUUGCCAACGGGUAGAGCCGGGGACUCUAGUGAAACCUGCCUGCGUAAGCAGCGA